This 601-nucleotide ribosomal RNA is filed under the name uncultured bacterium. Its description in RNAcentral is "bacterial SSU rRNA". The stretch from base 1 to 517 matches the Rfam family "Bacterial small subunit ribosomal RNA", at positions 338 to 873 of the family's 1533-position model. The record is from RNAcentral.
CCUACGGGGGGCAGCAGUGGGGAAUCUUGCGCAAUGGGCGAAAGCCUGACGCAGCCAUGCCGCGUGAAUGAUGAAGGUCUUAGGAUUGUAAAAUUCUUUCACCGGGGACGAUAAUGACGGUACCCGGAGAAGAAGCCCCGGCUAACUUCGUGCCAGCAGCCGCGGUAAUACGAAGGGGGCUAGCGUUGCUCGGAAUUACUGGGCGUAAAGGGAGCGUAGGCGGAUAGUUUAGUCAGAGGUGAAAGCCCAGGGCUCAACCUUGGAAUUGCCUUUGAUACUGGCUAUCUUGAGUGUGGGAGAGGUAUGUGGAACUCCGAGUGUAGAGGUGAAAUUCGUAGAUAUUCGGAAGAACACCAGUGGCGAAGGCGACAUACUGGCCCAUUACUGACGCUGAGGCUCGAAAGCGUGGGGAGCAAACAGGAUUAGAUACCCUGGUAGUCCACGCUGUAAACGAUGAGUGNUAGUUGUCGGCGAGCAUGCGUGUCGGUGACGCGAGCUACGACAUAAGCACUCCGCCGUGGGAGGUACGGUCGCGAGAUUAAACGUUAAACGGUAAGUUAGACGGCGUGAGACGNGCCGACGACGACGACGAGGGAGUAGG